Molecule: long non-coding RNA, 6803 nt
Filed under: Mytilus galloprovincialis (Mediterranean mussel)
Lineage: Eukaryota; Metazoa; Mollusca; Bivalvia; Mytilida; Mytilidae
Source: RNAcentral
UAAGUGAUAUGUAAUGCUUUAAUGCCUUUACCUGUGGAACAUGAAAUAUACAAUACUAGUGUAAAGCAAAAAGCAAAACAAAAAUAAAACUGAAUAAAUAAGAGCCCUGUUCACUACAUAAAUUGGUUUAUAAAAUAAAUAAUAUAUCUAUAACAAAUAUAAUAUAAGAACUUAACAAGCCAGUCUAAAAAUUCAGUAUCAAUAUAUGAUAUCUUGAAAAUGUAUAUUUACGAUAUUUUACUAAAACAAAAAGCUGAUUUUCACAAUCUUAUACUCAGAAACAAUAUAUGAUAACUUGAAAUGUAUUUUCACAAUACUUUACUGAAGGAAAAAACAAUGCUAUUUCUUAACAGUAACCUGAUUAAGUUUAAACUGGGCAUAAUUUAAUUUCCUUAUGCACAGUUUAUAAAAGACAGUUUAAGCUGAAUUUGAUAUGAUGGUCACUAACCGUUUAUAAGUUUGAUUUCUAAAUAAAAGACUUGAUAAAAGACAUUUCAGAAAAUCUUCAGCUUUAAAAAAUUUGUGGUAUGAUAUUAUCUUUUUUUUUUUAUCAAUCUAUGGUCUGCUCAAGCAAAAAAGGUAACAAAGUUAAAACGCCUUCAAUGCAUGAUUCUAAAACCAGAUUAUUUUGAUACGGUAGGAUGAAACACCAUUACUAGAAUGCUUUACCAUUUUUUGGUUUCAUUCAGGACUAAAAUUAUAAAUUUGUAAGUCAUUUGAUUCCUUAAAACAAGUAGAACAGAUUAUGAUACCUUCUUUCCCUAUAACAUUUUAAAUAUAAUCUUCUAGUAUGUGCCAAUAGUCUUGUUUGCGAAUUCCCAUUAUUGACCCUGUGGGGAGGGACAUAAUUUUUAUUGACAAUGCAGAGCCAUCACAAAGAGAAAAUUUAUCUGUGCAUAAUUUGUGUAACCUUUAAAUUUUUCAAAACUUUUAGUUAAAUUCUUUAGAAACCAAAGUUUUUUUUUUACUAAAAUUUGUUAAAAACACUGAUAUAUCACUUUCAACUUGUCACAUGAGCAACAUGACAGGUGCCACAUGUGAAGCAGGAUCUGAUUACCCUUCUGGAGCACCUGAGAUCACACAUAUGCAUUAUUGAAAUUUGCAAACAAAUAUAAAACUAAUAGCACUUAUCAAAGUUUCCCUCAUAAGUCAAAUAUUUUACUUCUCAAAAAAAAAAGAUCAAAUCACCCUUACCUGAUGUAAAAAUGUUGCAAAAAGUACAAAUUGUAUGCAGAAAAAGUUAUUUUUGGCUGUACAACUACAGAUUCAAUUCAUGCUUAAGCAAUUUAAAAGUAUGACUGCUUUACCAAACGAUGAUAAUUUAAAUUUGGUGAAGUCAUUCUAAUUUUGAUCCAUGCUAAUUUCAUCCCUCGAUGCACCUCAUUAUAAUAUCAAAUAAGAUAUAAAAAAAUCUUCCAUUUAGAAAACUAUAAUUUAUUACUAUUUGGGAUUAUAAAAUAUGAAUAAAAUUUCCCACAUGUUGUUAAAAUAUCAUUAAAAAAAAUCUAUCCUGUUACAUCAUCACAGCUUGAUAUCAAACAGGAUAAGAAAGGACAAAAGGGUAUAAACGAAAACCCAAAAGUUUAUAAAAAUCAGCAGGGUACCACAGUGUGUCAGUUUAAAAUUAUCAAAUCGGUUAUUUGUAUCAAUAGUGAGCACUAUUGGUAAUCUGAAUUUAGAAAUUGGUUGCUAGCCUUUAAAAUUAGAGUGAUCCACCGAGAUAAAUAGUUUUGAUUAAGUUUAAUACUUUCAUAUAAUAUCACAGCAGGCUCUUUUAUCGGUGGGAGAAAACUGAGUAUCCAUUAAAACCACUGACCCUCCACAAAUGACCGUACCACACUUGAUCCACUAACAAACUAAAGGCAUGCCCACAAGGUGUAGUACAACUAAAAUGUCAGAUCCAGUUCAUACCAAAAAGUGUGAACAAAAUUACCAAAAAAAAAACCCCAACAUAUGAAAAGGCCAUAAACAUGAACAAAAGUAUCCCAUUGAAUUUUUCAAUUAUUUAAACAAUAACCCUAAAAAAAGACAUAAAAAAAGGCAUAAACAAAUAUCUUGAGUGUUUUUAAGCACCUUUCUUUUUAUGAAUUGGUGUUUUCAUAAAAUAUUUUGGAAAUGAGACUAGAUAGACCCUUUACUAUCCUCCUUGUUGCUUUUUUUCUUAUGUCACCUACAUAUUCUGACCAUGCAGCAGAAAUUUUUGAACAAUUCCAAUUUUACAUUUGUACAACAAACAGAUAAACCAAAAUAGCAGACAAUUAAAAGUGAAUAUUCGGUGGUGCAUUAAAUAUUUCGGAAAUGAGACUAGACCCCUUACUACCCUCCUUGUUGCUUUCUUUUUUACUUCACCCACUUAUUCUGACCAUACAGUAGAAAUUUUGGAACAAUUCCAAUUUUACAUUUGUAAAACAAAGAGAUAUCAUAAGAGGCAGACUAUUAAAAGUGCAUGUUUGGUGGUGCAUUAAAUAUUUUGGAAAUGAGACUAGACCACUUACUACCCUCCUUGUUGCUUUCUUUCUUAUGUCACCUACAUAUUCUGACCAUGAAGCAGAAAUUUUGGAACAAUUCCAAUUUUACAUUUGUACAACAAACAGAUAAACCAAAAUGUCAGACCAUUAAAAGUGCAUGUUCGGUGAUGUAUGAAACUUUUAAGUGGCUAAUAAAUAAACACCUCACUUUGAUCAAUGAUAAGGUCAAUACACAACAUAACAACAUAUAUAUUAAAUAUGGAAAUAAUUACAAAAUAUAAAUAAUUUUGUCUGAUAUUGAUAUGCACUUGCAGUUUGUAAUCAUAUCACUUUAAUUGUAGCAAUUUACAUAAUUAAUAAAGUAAGCAAUGAUAAAUUUUACCGGUAUCAUUUCUGAAUAUUGAAGGACUAUACUGAAUAAAUUAUAUAAAAUGAUGACUGUAAUAUUGGCAAUAAAAGGUACAUCUUUAAUAGUUGAAAGCAUUACAUUCUUCAAUGUGUAAUAUGUAAUAAAUUAUGUUAAAGAUGGGUCUAAAUGAUUGGUUAAAAUGAAUGCUCAAACAGUAGAAACACAGCACGUUUAAUUACUUAUUCCUCUUUUGAAGGUAGUUUCAAUACUGUUAUAAUUUUUUCCUUUAAAAUUUUAUCUUCCCUAUGAAGUCUGUGAACUUCAUGUUUAUUUAUGUAUCACAUUUGAUUUUUGAAAAACCUUUAAUUAAACUUGCAAUAAUACAUCUUGGUUUUAUACUGUAAAAUAAGAAAUCAUUGUGAUUUUUCAAGAAUGUACAAAAAAGCGAAUACAAUUAUUGUAAUUUUGAAAAAAUCUGAAUACAGAUCUAUGGUUCAGUUAUCAGAAUGACAGUUUUCACCCAAAUGUAGCAUUUGCACUAUUAAAUAUCUUGCUAUAUUUUCUGAAUUCACAUUAGAAAAUAUGUAGGGGUAAAUUCAGUAAAAUAUCUCUCUAUAUCUUGAAUUAAAUUGAUACCCGAUUUACUUUUAGAAAUUAGACAAUUUCAUAUAUCAUUCAUGAAAGUAUAAAUGUAGCUCUAUUUGUUGCAACAAUAAAAACAUGUGGCAUUUUUAGGCAUUCACAUGGCCUUGUUUACAAACUCUAUAGAUUCACAUUUAAAUCCUUCCAUGACCCCAAUACUUUUCAACCCUGCAGUAAAAAAAAAAUAGUACAAUCAGCAUUUUUUUCCCCCACUCUAGUUUUGAUCCAUCUAUCAAAAAAAUUUAUUACAAACAUUUUCUACCAAUCAGAAGAGCACAUGACUUCAGUUUUAUACAGAAAGCUCUCCCCUCCAAAUGGACUUGGAUAAGGGGAGGUAAACAUCCUGUUUAAGAUGAUCAAUAUUUGACUGGCACAAAUUUUUAAAAAUACUGUAGGUAAAUUGUCUAUCUAUUCUGAUUAUAGGUUAUAUCAUUGUUGACUUUAUCACCCUCUACAUAUAAAUAAAAGUAACCUGCCAACAUUCUUGAGGUAUUGUUGAUUUUUCCCAAAAGAGGGAUGUUUUUUCUCUUUUAAUACCCCCGUUGUAUAAACUUUAUAUCUAAAAACUAUCAUUCAAAGGCUAAAAAAGUCUAAAUAUGCAAAACUAUGGUGAAUUAGAUGUCAACAUGUAAGCCAUGCUAUGAGAUGCAUGAUGCCUUUUGUGCUUCAAAUACCCCAAGAGAUUUUAAGAAUUUGGCAGGUACAAAAUGGUUAUAUUGGUAAUAUUUAAUAUAUCUUUAAAACCCUGUUUAUUAUUGCAAUAUAUUUUGUACAAAGCAGCUUUUCAUAAGCUUUCCUUAUCAAUACUCUCAAUUCAUUGUCAGAUUUUCAUUUGAUUUUAGCCUUCAUCAAAAUGUUCAAUAAAAAAUGUACAUUAUAAAUAGACUGCAUGUCAUUUAUGCAGAAAGUAAAAUUCCACCCUGUAAUUGAUUUCUAAAAGUAAAAUUCCAAGUAGUAAUUGAAUUCUAAAAGUAAAAUUCCACCCAGUAAUUGAAUUCUAAAGUAAAAUUCCACCCAGUAAUUGAAUUCUAAAAGUAAAAUUCCACCCUGUAAUUCAAUUCUAAAAGUAAAAUUCCACCCUGUAAUUCAAUUCUAAAAGUAAAAUUCCACCCUGUAAUUCAAUUCUAAAAGUAAACGAAAAAGCUUGUGCAAUAGUUCUAACCACACCCUAUAUGUCAUUUCAUCUUAAACAAAACGUGCAAUCUAACAAAAAAGCAAAUAAAAAUUCAAAACAAAAAUGUGUAGCACAAUUUUUUGAUGAUCUGAUCUAACACUAAGCACCAUUAUCACAAAAUCAAUUUAAAUAGAUGUAAAUAAUAUAUAUAACAAACAACACAAAAUUACCAUAAACAGUUCUAUUCAGUUUCAUUGAUGCUGAUACACAGGUUCAUUGAUUGUUAGAAGUAAGGGGCAAAGGUCAAAUGAUACACAGAAUAUUGCCCUAACAAUUUUACAGUAAACCAACUUAGUUAAGCACUUUUUUUUGCAUUUAGCCUUUCGGAUAGUUUUAUGGUGAUUUUUUUUCAUGAUCUGCUUUUUAUUUGUUUGUAUAUUCAUAUAAGAGAAGAUACAAGUUUGACAUGUCUGACAUUUAUAGUAUAUAUAUUUGCUUUAUUUUUCUACAUGCAAAAAAUUGUCACCCUUUGUGUGGUAUACAUUAUAUCUACCAACAUUUAACACUGAGGUUAAAUUUUUAUUUUUUUUGGUUAUUAACCAUCUGGUAACUGAAUAGAAUGUCAUUUACAAUUUGAUUAAAAAAAGACAAUAAAAAUCUUUUUGAAACCCUGUUUUCCCUAAACAAAAGCUGUUCACAAUUUUAUUUUAAAGAUAUUUUUUUUCUCACAAAAGUCAUAUAUAGAUUUUUGUAAGCAUUGGUGACAGUGUUUCAAAAGUGGCUAUGUCAUAGGAGGUAGCUAAAACACUGCAUCAAAGAAGAUAACUAGAUUGUAAAAGUUACAUAGCAAAAAUAAAUAAUAUCUAUCUAUUUGAAAUCAUACUUUUUGUAGGAAAUAUUCUGUGAUAAAAAGAUAUAUAGGAAUGCAUCAAGUGGUUCCAAACAUACAAUGUAUCUGGUUCUAGUUUUUAAAAAGAAUUAAUUAAUUCAAAUUACAUUUAAUUAAACUUUUCAGGUACAUUUUCAUUUUAAACCUUAUUGAAAGUUUUUUAAAAGCUAAGUCACAGAAUGUCAAUAACUUAUCAUAUAUUUUACCUAUUUACUUAUUCGAAGAACCUUAUUUCCUAAUUCUGUUAAAAAUUGGACACUCUUUUUAAAAUUUACCUUGGAUUCAUUUAUUUUCGUGGUUACCAAUUUCUUGGACUAAAAAAAAACUGCAUUUAAGAGGAUUAUUUAUAUCAUGGUUUUGCCAAAGUCUGCAUACAAUUCUAAAAAAAAUCCCAGAAUACAGGCAAAUCUUUAAAAAAAAAAUUGUGAUUUACUGGUACCCACCAAGUCUAUAAAAACUGGUACCUAUCAAGUCCAGGAAAAAUGGUACCCACCAAGUCCAGGAAAACUGGUAUGCUAUGAAUCCACAUUAUAUGAAAUUUUAUGGAUUGAUUGUUUUUUGUACCCAUGGAUACAAAGGCUGAACUAUAAGCCUUUGUGUCCAAGGUUACAAAAACAAUCAAAAAUGAACUGUAAGCCUUUGUGUCCAAGGUUACAAAAACAAUCAAUUUAUAGCAAAAAAUACUCAAAAAAGACCAUAUUUUAUAACUGUGAUUAUUUUCAUAAUAUCAGUAUUUUUCUAAUUUUCACAGGAAAAAUUAUCUUUCUUUAAAAUAUCAUUCAACAAAAAUCUAUUCAACAUUACCCAAACAAAUUGAGUAUUCUAAGGAAUGAAUCAAAAGCAAUGUGAGACCUACAACUACUUGCAAUGCUUAACAAAGAUUAUUAAGCAAAAUAUAGAGUAAAGGGACAUAACCCUUGUAAUUUUCUUUCAGCAGCAGUGCUAAUUUUCAUUUCAGCAAAUAAUUUUUAAGAAGCAUAUGUACAUGAACGGCAUAUUUUGAGCACAUACAUUUGCAAUGCAACACAGAUUUUCCCCUUUACCAACCAUGGUUAAAAUGUUACAAUAGCCUGUUGUGUUCUAAUUACUGACCUCUGUUGUUAAAAAUUCUUCAAUAUGAGGUUAGGAAGAACUGCUGUAUAAAAUUUUAGUUUUUUUUUAUUCACUGAUGAGAUAUAAGUUUACAGAAAGGCAUUAGAACUAGAUUUACUCCCAUUACAAAUAUUAAAGCAAAUGUCUAUUUAAAUUAAACCAAUUUAGAGAGUUGAAAUCAAUGCAUUAAAAAUGUAAUUAACUUAAUAAAAAUAAACAAAAUAUAAUUAGUUCUUUGCAUAAUUUGAA